Molecule: long non-coding RNA, 495 nt
Filed under: Musa acuminata (dwarf banana)
Lineage: Eukaryota; Viridiplantae; Streptophyta; Magnoliopsida; Zingiberales; Musaceae
Description: long non-coding RNA (MACU_LNC000952)
Source: RNAcentral
CAGCUUUGAGCAAACAACAACUCCAAUGAUGUUAGGUUCAUCUGUGAAAGUGUCUUUGGAUGCUUUGCUUGAGGAGAAUGCUACAUGCAAGUAAGUAUACAUCUUUCAGCAUUCUUCUGGUGACACAGCUGGAGAUAAAUUUAUACUCUUUUAACUUGUCCAAAAGUUAUCUUUACCUGUUUGCUACAAUGACAAAUGAUUGGCUCAUGGAUAACACUGGGAGGAGAUGUGGACUGCAAAGCAAGAUUACAUACUAUGUUGCAGCUUUGAGCAAACAAGAAGUCCAGUGAUGUUUGGUGCAUCUGUCAAAGUGUCUUUGGAUGCUUUGCUUGAGGGGUAUGCUACAUGCAACUACAUAUCAUACAGUCUUGGUUUGGUGACAGUUGAGAUGAAUUUAAUAUCUUUUGACUUGCCCAAAAGCCACCUUUAAUUAUGGGCAAGUAAAACAAUGUAAAUUUUGUGGAUUGUGUGAGGGUCAUCUUCCUUUUUCCAUAA